This 301-nucleotide ribosomal RNA is filed under the name uncultured bacterium. RNAcentral describes it as "partial 16S ribosomal RNA". It matches the Rfam family "Bacterial small subunit ribosomal RNA", at positions 509 to 807 of the family's 1533-position model. The record is from RNAcentral.
CAGCCGCCACGGUAAUACAGAGGGUGCGAGCGUUAAUCGGAUUUACUGGGCGUAAAGCGUGCGUAGGCGGCUUUUUAAGUCGGAUGUGAAAUCCCUGAGCUUAACUUAGGAAUUGCAUUCGAUACUGGGAAGCUAGAGUAUGGGAGAGGAUGGUAGAAUUCCAGGUGUAGCAGUGAAAUGCGUAGAGAUGUGGAGGAAUACCGAUGGCGAAGGCAGCCCCCUGGGCCAAUACUGACGCUCAUGCACGAAAGCGUGGGGAGCAAACAGGAUUAGAUACCCCGGUAGUCCCUGUCUCUUAUAC